CAUCCACCAGCUAGAAGAUUAUAAUUCACUUUAUUGCAAUAUUCAUUUUAUUGUGAUGGUCUGGAAACAAACUUCUCCAAGGAUGAAGAGAAACAGGAAGAAGUUAAGUGGUAUUAAAGAGAAGGCCCUGAGUGAAUUGGGUUUGUGACAGAUGGGAGAUGAUAUGGGUCAUCUGGAGGUGGGAGGCUGCCAUUACAACAAACACGUGUUCAGGGUGUUGUCUUCCCCCCUCCUUCUCCUCGUAGUAGAGAAAUCAGCUCAAAGGAAAUAUGUCAAAAGAAAUUCAGGAACAAUGGAGUUCAUCACGUAUUUUUAUGUGGUGCUUCACAUACUACCUACAUCACAGCUGUGGGGCGGUGAGACCAACAGGGUCUUCUGCCAAAGUCAAGAGAACUGUGCUCCAGACCACUCUGCCGUUUCCCACCGGAGAUCUGUGGCUAUGGGCUUUUCUGUGCCUCAGUGUCCUUGACUGUGCUUUCAGGGUUCACUGAGGAAACGUAUAUGAACUCUAUAACGCAAUGUACAACUGUCAAAGUUAAAGGAUUUUAUUGAAAUGGUAGUCCCUAGAAUGUAUUCUAUGUUGGUAAAGUAUAGUUUAGAAAUCAAAGAGAACGUAGGAUUGAGCAUUUCUUGAAUUUAUUUGCCCCGGGGAACAUUUUUAUUUAUUAAAAUUCAGUAUAAUUAUGUCCAACUGAGACUGCCUAUCAGCAUCACUUGCAAGGGCAUGGCAGGGCUUGUCUGGACUCUUUCCGAUCCUCCAAGAGCAAAAUGGCUAGUGCAGAGCUUAGGGCCCGCGAGUCUCAUCUCCCCGUUUAAUAUGUGCUCUAAUUAUGAACAUCUGCUUCAAAGCAGAGGAUUUUCAAAACUUUGCAUAGGAAAGAAUUACCCGGGGAGCAUAUUAAAUAUUCAGAUUCCUAGGUUUGACCAAGAAAACUUCUAAGUAGAUCUGAAGUGGUGGUUCAGGAACCUGCAUUUUUACAGAGCGCUCCAGGGGAUUCUGAGGAUCCGUUUGUGGCCCUAAUACUGAGAAACACGGGUUUAUAGUUCUCACCUCUGGUUGCAUGGCAGAUUCAUUCAGGAAACAUUUAUAAUGUACUGAUACUCAGGCAUUACACACAGAGAGUCUGAUGUAAUCGGCACAGUGGAAUAAUGCCUGUGCAUCACCAGGUAAAUGUGCUAUUUUGCCAGGGCUGAGAACCACUGACUGAUCCAGGGGUCCCAAACUUGCAAAGUGGUAAGGCUCACAUAGGCAUGCUUGAUAAAACUGCAGACUGGUAGGCUGGACCCUGGAGAGUGGUUGAGAGGGUCUAGGUUGAGGUGUGGGAAUCCAUGUUUUUAAUAAGCUGGUGAGCUGAUCAUCAUCAUUAGUGAGUUUGAGAUAAAACAUUAUUAUGAAUAAGUUUAUCAGAUAUUUCACUAUCAUAGUAUAAAGUGGAACAGAGGUGCCUGGGGUGACAAGACCUGGGUUAUGGGACAUUUAAUAAGACAGAAAGCAAGACCAGAGCACUGACAGGAAUGACAAGGUCACAAGCAGUGAGCACGGGGGAGUGUUCCCCCCAGGGGGGAGUGUGUCAGGGGCUGGGGGACUGAAGACUGUAAAAGGAAGACCAAACAAGAACUAAGAGAAAGUCCUACACAGAUUUUUCUAUUUUGACAUUUUGGCGUAGCCCGGGGGCCUCAAUGGAAAGAUU
Molecule: long non-coding RNA, 1691 nt
Organism: Artibeus jamaicensis (Jamaican fruit-eating bat)
Lineage: Eukaryota; Metazoa; Chordata; Mammalia; Chiroptera; Phyllostomidae
Exons: 3
Source: RefSeq, a predicted model, not a curated record